GACAGCAGUCGCCGCGGUAAUACGUAGGGUGCAAGCGUUAAUCGGAAUUACUGGGCGUAAAGCGUGCGUAGGCGGCUUUUUAAGUCGGAUGUGAAAUCCCUGAGCUUAACUUAGGAAUUGCAUUCGAUACUGGGAAGCUAGAGUAUGGGAGAGGAUGGUAGAAUUCCAGGUGUAGCGGUGAAAUGCGUAGAGAUCUGGAGGAAUACCGAUGGCGAAGGCAGCCAUCUGGCCUAAUACUGACGCUGAGGUACGAAAGCAUGGGGAGCAAACAGGAUUAGAUACCCCAGUAGUCCCUGUCUCUUAUAC
Molecule: ribosomal RNA, 306 nt
Filed under: uncultured bacterium
Lineage: Bacteria
Description: partial 16S ribosomal RNA
Rfam family: Bacterial small subunit ribosomal RNA
Source: RNAcentral